GACAUGCAGAGAACUUUCCAGAGAUGGAUUGGUGCCUUCGGGAACUCUGACACAGGUGCUGCAUGGCUGUCGUCAGCUCGUGUCUGAGAUGUUGGGUUAAGUCCCGUAACGAGCGCAACCCUUGUCCUUAGUUACCAGCACGCUAUGGUGGGCACUCUAAGGAGACUGCCGGUGACAAACCGGAGGAAGGUGGGGAUGACGUCAAGUCAUCAUGGCCCUUACGGCCUGGGCUACACACGUGCUACAAUGGUCGGUACAAAGGGUUGCCAAGCCGCGAGGUGGAGCUAAUCCCAUAAAACCGAUCGUAGUCCGGAUCGCAGUCUGCAACUCGACUGCGUGAAGUCGGAAUCGCUAGUAAUCGUGAAUCAGAAUGUCACGGUGAAUACGUUCCCGGGCCUU
Molecule: ribosomal RNA, 399 nt
Filed under: uncultured Pseudomonas sp.
Lineage: Bacteria; Pseudomonadati; Pseudomonadota; Gammaproteobacteria; Pseudomonadales; Pseudomonadaceae
Description: bacterial SSU rRNA
Rfam family: Bacterial small subunit ribosomal RNA
Source: RNAcentral